UAACGGCGAGUGAAGCGGUAACAGCUCAAAUUUGAAAUCUGCCGCAAGGCCGAGUUGUAAUUUGUAGAAGAUGCUUUGGGUAUGGCCCCGGUCUAAGUUCGUUGGAACACGACGUCAUAGAGGGUGAGAAUCCCGUAUGUGACUGGGUGCUUUUGCCUAUGUAAAGCUCUUUCGACGAGUCGAGUUGUUUGGGAAUGCAGCUCAAAAUGGGUGGUAUAUUUCAUCUAAAGCUAAAUAUUGGCCAGAGACCGAUAGCGCACAAGUAGAGUGAUCGAAAGAUGAAAAGCACUUUGGAAAGAGAGUUAAACAGUACGUGAAAUUGUUGAAAGGGAAGCGCUUGCAACCAGACUUGCACGCUGUUGAUCAUCCAGGCUUCUGUUUGGUGCACUCGGCAGCGUUCAGGCCAGCAUCGGUUUUGGUGGUGGGAUAAAGGCCUUGGGAAUGUAGCUUCUUUCGGGGAGUGUUAUAGCCCUCGGUGCAAUGCCGCCUACCGGGACCGAGGACCGCGCUUCGGCUAGGAUGCUGGCGUAAUGGUUGUAAGCGACCCGUCUUGAAACACGGACCAAGGAGUCUAACAUCUAUGCGAGUGUUUGGGUGUCAAACCCAUACGCGUAAUUAACGUGAACGGAGGUGAGAACCCUUAAGGGUGCAUCAUCGACCGAUCCUGAUGUCUUCGGAUGGAUUUGAGUAAGAGCAUAGCUGUUGGGACCCGAAAGAUGGUGAACUAUGCCUGAAUAGGGUGAAGCCAGAGGAAACUCUGGUGGAGGCUCGCAGCGGUUCUGACGUGCAAAUCGAUCGUCAAAUUUGGGUAUAGGGGCGAAAGACUAAUCGAACCAUCUAGUAGCUGGUUCCUGCCGAAGUU
This 862-nucleotide ribosomal RNA is filed under the name Lemonniera aquatica. RNAcentral describes it as "LSU rRNA". It matches the Rfam family "Eukaryotic large subunit ribosomal RNA", at positions 84 to 968 of the family's 3401-position model. The record is from RNAcentral. Lineage: Eukaryota; Fungi; Ascomycota; Leotiomycetes; Helotiales; Discinellaceae.